GGAACCACUGAGCAUACUCGCACCGAAGUUGAGUGAGUUCAGUACCGCCCUAAGUCAUCAACGUCAGUCAGCCUGAGCAUAAACGUCAGGCAGCGAACAGCGUGGCGAACUGUCACUAGGAGCAUAAUUCAGAAUCGAACGAUACGUGAAGAAGUGCGCCCGUAAGGCCAAAUUGAAAAAUUGUAUUUGAAAUUUGAUGAAAUCGCGAGUGUAUUUAGAAAUCAGUUCAGCUGUAAUUACGUAGUCUUUAUCAGUCGUGAACUAGGUAAUUUGAAUCAGUUGCGUCAUUGAAAUACCUAACGCUUAAUUGAAUUACAAAUAUCUAUUACCUACAUUACACUCGAAGCGCAGUUUGUCUAUUGAUUAUAGCUAACGUAUUCUAUCAAAUUAAAAUUACAUGCAAUAAUUUAACGUGCAGAAGUUUUGGAGGACAAAAACACAAAAAGCAACACGAAAAUCUUUGAAUCUGCUCUAUGCUGCUAUCGGAUCGUGUUUUGUUUCUCUCCUGAAUCCUACCGAAACAGAUGUUGUG
This is a long non-coding RNA of Aedes albopictus (Asian tiger mosquito), 532 nucleotides long. RefSeq lists it as uncharacterized. NCBI's taxonomy places the organism in Eukaryota, Metazoa, Arthropoda, Insecta, Diptera, Culicidae. The transcript has 3 exons. The record is from RefSeq and is a predicted model, not a curated record.